AGAGUUUGAUCCUGGCUCAGGAUGAACGCUAGCGGCAGGCCUAAUACAUGCAAGUCGAACGGUAGCGGCCCUCGGGGCCGCGAGAGUGGCGGACGGGUGCGUAACGCGUAUGCAACAACCCCCGACGGGCGGAUAGCCGGUGGAAACGCCGGAUAAGCCGCCAUGCGGCCGACGAGGGGCAUCCCUUGUUGGUCAAAGCGGAGACGCGGUGGGGGACGGGCAUGCGUCCCAUUAGAUAGUUGGCGGGGCGACGGCCCACCAAGUCGACGAUGGGUAGGGGAUCUGAGAGGACGGUCCCCCCACACUGGUACUGAGACACGGACCAGACUCCUGCGGGAGGCAGCAGUAAGGGAUAUUGGUCAAUGGUCGGAAGACUGAACCAGCCCAUGCCGCGUGAGGUAGGAAGGCCCUACGGGUCGUAAGCCUCUUUUACCCGGGGACAAGGGCGCCCACGCGAUGGGUGCUUGAGGGUACCGGGGGAAUAAGCGUCGGCUAACUCCGUGCCAGCCGCUGC
Molecule: ribosomal RNA, 514 nt
Filed under: uncultured bacterium
Lineage: Bacteria
Description: bacterial SSU rRNA
Rfam family: Bacterial small subunit ribosomal RNA
Source: RNAcentral